This 492-nucleotide ribosomal RNA is filed under the name uncultured bacterium. Its description in RNAcentral is "partial 16S ribosomal RNA". It matches the Rfam family "Bacterial small subunit ribosomal RNA", at positions 29 to 507 of the family's 1533-position model. The record is from RNAcentral.
AGUGAACGCUGGCGGUAGGCCUAACACAUGCAAGUCGAACGGCAGCACAGUAAGAGCUUGCUCUUACGGGUGGCGAGUGGCCGACGGGUGAGGAAUACAUCGGAAUCUACUUUUUCGUGGGGGAUAACGUAGGGAAACUUACGCUAAUACCGCAUACGACCUACGGGUGAAAGCAGGGGAUCUUCGGACCUUGCGCGAUUGAAUGAGCCGAUGUCGGAUUAGCUAGUUGGCGGGGUAAAGGCCCACCAAGGCGACGAUCCGUAGCUGGUCUGAGAGGAUGAUCAGCCACACUGGAACUGAGACACGGUCCAGACUCCUACGGGAGGCAGCAGUGGGGAAUAUUGGACAAUGGGCGCAAGCCUGAUCCAGCCAUACCGCGUGGGUGAAGAAGGCCUUCGGGUUGUAAAGCCCUUUUGUUGGGAAAGAAAAGCAGCAGGUUAAUACCCCGCUGUUCUGACGGUACCCAGAGAAUAAGCACCGGCUAACUUCGUG